Molecule: ribosomal RNA, 466 nt
Filed under: uncultured bacterium
Lineage: Bacteria
Description: partial 16S ribosomal RNA
Rfam family: Bacterial small subunit ribosomal RNA
Source: RNAcentral
GAUGAACGCUGGCGGCGUGCUUAACACAUGCAAGUCGAACGAUGAAGCCCAGCUUGCUGGGUGGAUUAGUGGCGAACGGGUGAGUAACACGUGAGUAACCUGCCCUUAACUCUGGGAUAAGCCUGGGAAACUGGGUCUAAUACCGGAUAGGAGCGUCCACCGCAUGGUGGGUGUUGGAAAGAUUUAUCGGUUUUGGAUGGACUCGCGGCCUAUCAGCUUGUUGGUGAGGUAAUGGCUCACGAAGGCGACGACGGGUAGCCGGCCUGAGAGGGUGACCGGCCACACUGGGACUGAGACACGGACCAGACUCCUACGGGAGGCAGCAGUGGGGAAUAUUGCACAAUGGGCGCAAGCCUGAUGCAGCGACGCCGCGUGAGGGAUGACGGCCUUCGGGUUGUAAACCUCUUUCAGUAGGGAAGAAGCGAAAGUGACGGUACCUGCAGAAGAAGCACCGGCUAACUACGUG